CACAGCCAUGUGCAACUAAGUCAAUUAAACCUCUUUCCUUUGUAAAUUAUCCAGUCUUGGGUAUUUCUUUGUAGGAGUGUGAAAAUGCACUAAUACUCUAGGUUUCCCUUAUUAUUUAAAAUGUGUUCUUUUGGGGCUGUUAGGGAACAGAUAGACUGUUUCAUAUCUGUCUAAACAGUCUUGUGGUAACAAGCCAAUACUAGAGAAUGUAAUUAGGAGAAAGAGGAAAUAAUUUAGAUGGCAUUUGACUUGCUCCUCAAAGCAUGGUCCACGGAUCAGUAGCAUCUGCCUCCCUGGGAGCUUGUCCAGACCAUCAGAUCUAAAUCUGCAUUUAACACACCCCAAGGUGACUCACAUGCACAUUAUGUUUGUUGAUGACUAGACUCCAGAACCUUCUCCACAGGUCACCAUUUCAUUGAAGAUGAGUGGGAGAUGACACAUGAGACCCACAGGAGGACAUAUUAGAAGACGUAUUUGCACAACUUUUUAAGACUGUGAUAUAUAAAACUAAUAUUAUAAAUAAAUAUGUCAAAAAGGGCAAAUGAACCCAAAGAAUUAUUUCCUUAACUUGGGAAAAGCUAAAACAUAGGUGUUACAGUUGAACCCCCAAUUCCCUUGCCAACAAGAUGCAUAUUCCUCAAUUGCAUUUAUUUUGUGAAACAGGGAAAAUAUGGAUGACGUGUGUUUGUCCUGACUUCAAACUAGAAUUCUAUUGAUGUUUGUAGACAAUUGCAAUUGUAAUCUCUUUAUAUCUAACAAUGUCUUUGUACAAAAUGAAUGUUUUUUUUCUUAUCUAAAAUAGGAUGUUGGAUAAUAUAAUCUCUAAGGUUUCUUUCAGCUCUGAGGAAUAUUCUAGGGCCUCAUAAAAAUUCUAAGAGGUAAACAGAACUGGGACACUUGUUUCCAGAAUUUUCUUUGUUUUUGUUUGUUUUCAACAUUGUGAUAUAGGGAAAUUAUAACAAUAUAGGAUUCAAAAGACUAGGGCACCGAUUUCAACCACAAUGCUCUAGCCUGUCAUAUAAAUGUAUCAUAUAAUUUUCAAGUAGCUACUAUAACCUAGGCACUGUUUUGGGCCUGGGAACUGAAUAGGAGGGAAAAAUAUAUAUGGCCUAUUGCUUCUGAGGCUUUUGAGUAGUCAGGAAAGGCCAGCAAGAAUCACAAACUUACUGUGAUAUGUGCUACCAGGGAGAAGUACAGGGCCAUGAGGAGGACAACUGGGGAUCAAUCUGAGCCAGUUAUUUUACCUAUUAACUUCUCACCUAUAAAAUUGGCAACAAGAAUUUAUCAGUUUGUUUUUAAUUAAAUGAAGUAAUAUAUGUGAUAGUGGGCAGGAAGGGGUUAACUUAGCAGGCACCAGUUGGUUAUUCAAACCCUGCACAUUCUCCAUUCCUAUUUUUAGGAUAGGCCUAUGGCUGGCUUCUGGGAUUUGAUUUCUGGGGCCUUUGGAAUAUUCUGCCUGUUUCUGUAAGUCUGAGACCUUGGGCCAUGCUAUACCCAUUUGACCAGAUACAUUAAUCCCAACAAGGGACAGCCUAGCGGGGAUGCCUGUUUUUACUCUGAUGCAGCCUGGAGCCUGAAUAGCUGAGUCAGUCCUGGGGGUGCUGCAUGCCUACAUGACUGACCCCCAAUAAAAACCUUGGACAUCAAGGCUCAGGGGAGCUUCUCUGGUUUAUGGCACUGCAUGUGUUGUCACACGUCAUUGCUGGGAGAAUUAAGGGUGUCCCCAUGCAACCCCACUGGGAGGGGCCUUGGAAGGUUUUGCCUGGUCUCUCCUGGCCUUUAUCCCUUGUGACUUUUCCCUUUGCUGAUUUUAAUCUUAUUUCUCACUGUGGUGAUACAAACUGUGAGCAUAAUGUGUUUUUCUGAGUCUUGUGAGUCUUCUAGAGGAGUAUUGAGCUGGAGGGUGGCCUUGGGAACCCUUCCAUCUGACACUGACAGCAUGUGCUAAGGAGUCAAUAAUGCAGUAAGAGUGUAAAAUUCCUAGUCUUUUCCCUAAAUGUCUGUUUGUCAAAUUACAUUCCUCUAUGGAAUCUAAGAGAAUAUCCUCUUUAUCCAGCCUCACCACUUGCAUCCAGAAUCACUUGAGAUAACAGUACUGUCAGACUUAUCUGUUAUGUUCUAACAAAUAAAAAAUAACCAGGGAUCAUGUGGAUGUAUAUAUUUGAAGGAAACCGAACUCCAGAGGAGGUGCUCCACUAUUCAUGGUUCUCUUAGUUGCCUUCAAGGGCAGAAUCAGCCCUAACAUGGUGCGUGGAGGAAUUUUCUGGAGAAAAUAUUACUAGCAUUGAACUACUAGACCACGCCCUCUUUUUCUUGUCUGUAACUCUCAAACUUGGCUCUCUAUGAAGGCGUGACUUUGAAAUGCCACUCUUUCUUCCCACAUGAUGUGUGAAAGAAAUUUACCAAGUCAAAAAUUAUGGAGACAUUUUACUUAAAGUAAGUGUAGAUACUUUAAGAUAAUUUUUUGUGGGUCUAUAGAUAAAACUUUGCUACAGAUGAAUUAGUUGACAUCUGGCAAUUUUGUCCAUCUUCACAGCUGUAUAAUUUCAUUGUCACUGUAAGUUUUGCAAUAUUGUGUACAUAUUUAAUAACCAAAUAUUUAGUCUCUGUGAACACAGAAAUUUUAAACUCUCAGUAAUGGGGUAGAGUAGGAGCAUGUUCCUAAAAACCCAGUGGUAUUUCUAUUCAGUAUUUAAAAUUUAACGUUUAAUUAUAGAACAUAAUGAAAUUCUUCAAAGCACAGCUUUUCCACAGAGCAGUUAAAACCAAUUAACACUUAUUCUGUUAACAGUUUAAUCUUUAUUGUCAUUUAACGAUGCUAGAAUUUUCCUUUUUUUUUUUUUUUUUUUUUUUGCUGCUAUGAAAAGAUUGGUUACUCUGAGUCAGACUUUAAUCUAAGAAACUCUAGGCAAAAUGGACAGACAGCUUGUAAAAAACAACAGUACAGAAAAGUCAGUAAAGCAACAGUACAGAAAGUCAAGAAAUAGACCCAGUUCAUAUAAUAGUUAAACAUAUGGUCCAAGUAGAGUCUCAAGUCAGUUAGGGAAAGCUGACCUCUUCAAUAAACUGUUGAAUGGUAGUCAUUUGGAAAAAAAAAAAUUUGAAUCCAUGUAUCUUCCUCCAUUGAUAUAAAUUUCAGAGAAAGCAAAUGGGGAAAAAAAAGCACUACAAGAAAAUAUCGAAGAAUUUCUACAUAAACUCAGAAAGGAGAAGGGAUUUCAAGCGAGGAUUCAAAUAAAGUCACAGAAGAAAAGAUAGAUGAAUUUGCCGGUGAAAAUAUCUUUUGAUAUCUAUUAUUUUUAAAAAGUAACAUAAGACAAAAACAAAAAGAUUGAAACUCAAAACACUAAUUCCUCUUGUUUCAUCUAGCAACAUAUUUUAGAAAUUCAACUACUGAAGACUACUCCUUUUCAGUAAUAGUCGUAAUAAUAAUAGUAGUAUACAGUGAAGAAUGAUAAGUUACAGGGUUUUAGGGUUUACACACAUUAAUUUUUUAAUGCUCAAAGAACUCUAUGAAAAAAUUAUGAAAAGUAUUUUUCAGGUGAAAGUAAUAUGUAGAGCAUGCUAAUGUUUGUGUAAAAAAGAUGUGUGGGACAAAAUUUCAGUUAAAUAGGAGGAAUAAGUUCAAGAGAUCUAUUGUCCAACAUGGUGACUAUAGUUAAUAAAAAUAUAUUGUAUACUUAAAAAUGUAAAGUGGGUGGAUAAGUGUUCUCAGCAUGGAAAAUGAUGACUAUGUGAGGUGAUGCAUAUGUUAACUAGCUAGAUUUAAUCAUUCCACAUGUUUGUAUACUUCAAAAUAUCAGGUUGUACACAAUAAAUACAAUUUUAUGUCACUGUAAAAAAUGUGCAUGGGAAGAAUUUAUAUGCAUCUUUGCAUGUAUGUACAUUAAACUCUGGAAGAAUGUACAAAACCUACUAACUGUUAUUUAUUGGGCGUGAAGUGAAGCAGAUGGGGUUUAAGUAUAGAAGGAACAUUUUCACUAAUAAAUCUUUACAUAAAUAAUAAGGAAAGUUAUAGAUUUAUUUAAUGUAAAUUAAAUGAAUUUUUUUUUUUUCAUAGAGACAAGGUCUCACUCUAUCACCCAGGCUGGAGCGCAGAGGCAUAGCUCAAUGCAGCCUUGAACUCCUGCGCUCAAGUAAUCUGCCCACCUCAGCCUCCUGAGUAGCUGUUUGUACAGGCGUACACUGCCAUGCCUCUCUCCCUCUCUCCUGCUCCACCAUGAUCUAUAGCCAGUUGCCUUGGAAUCUCUGCUGAGUACUUCAUCAAGCACCUGCUGUUUGAAGAGGGAAUAAGCCAGAAUAAAAUUCUCGCUCUUCAGAGUAAUGGAGCAUGAGUCUGCCACACAGAACUUUAGAGAGAGUCCUUUAUUUCAAAGACUGUAAAGUUGGAAGAAUUCAUUCAUCUGCAAAGUCAAAUGUCAAAAGUUGUGCUUCCCACUCCUCAUCAGGCCUGUGGUUAACAAUGCACUCGACUGACAGCUCUGUCAUGCAACAGGGUGCGUGAGAUCGCGAGAGCUGAUUGAUGCCUCUGCCUCUACAGUCUGAAAAGUUGCCAGACCAUAUGCUACUUAGUUUAGCCUGUGUGCAUCCUGCCCUGGGACCUGAUUUCUACUUUAUCUUUAAAAAUAUAAAACCUUGGUGCCCUUUAAGUUCUGCUACUGUCUUAAAGUUUUAAAGAAGACAUCAAUGGGUCCAAUUAAUAAUAAAUGUGGCUUCCAUUUAUGGUGUGCUUACAUUUUGCCAGGACGUCAUCAUCACUUAAUUCUAAAUUAAGUGUCAUCUCACUUAAUUCUAAAAACAACUGCGUGGCCUGGGCAAAAUUAAUCUCCAGUUUUUAGAUUAGGAAACUAAUCCCCAAAGGAGAGAAGUAUCUUGCAGAAUCUAGACCGAUUUGUCUUGUAGAUUUUAUAUUCUUGUUCAAAGCACUUCCUUACAUGGCCUUAAUGGGAGACAUGUAUAACGUAAUAGUGCCACAUUUAGUCAUAUAUAAAGGAUUUUUCAUUCUAGAGCUUUUCCCUAGGUAAUGAGUGUCUCAUAUUGUAUUUAUUACAAAAAAACACAUUAAAUAAAUAUACAAAGUAAUUUUCUACGGUAUGAUUUGAUUUCUGCAUAUACAUAUUGUUCAUACCAAGUCUUUCUUGAUUCGUGUAUUAUUGGAGUAAUUCUGAGUCAAUGAAAGUAUAAUCCAACUUACCUAAAUUUAUAUAAAUACACUCAUCACAUUUUGCACUGCAUAGAUGAAAAAUACUUUUAUGAAAAUAUUGCUAAAUAUUUAAUGAUCAAGGUGAAUUGCCUUGCAAAAUUUCCUUCUAAAUUCUUUUUAUACCAAUUGGUAUAUUGGUAUUUAAAACAAUCUCUUUGCAACGUUUAUUAGUUUUUUUCUUCUGAGGCAGAUAUAUUGCUAAAAAAUAUUUAUUUUUAUGGCUUACUCAUUUAUAAAAGAACAUUAACAGAGCAUAAUUUCUGUUCUAAGUUUAUUUUACUUAUUCCACAUAAACUAUUUUUGAGCAUAUUGGUGCAUGAGCCAAUAAAAAGGAUGAAAUUAUCAAGAGAAUUUACUAAACAUCAAGUUACUGAUAUUUAGAAACAAUCUAAGUAUAGAAACACCGACAGAAAGAAUCAGGAGGCCCAGGACAAAGCAGGAGAGGUCUAGUCUGUCCAGGCAGCUCCCAGGGCCCCGCUUCUGCCUUCGGGUGUGCAUUGUCUGGCUCAGACUACACCAGGUCUGCACUAGUGCCCCCAGCAAGGAGUGUGUGAGUUAGGAAAUCUAUUUAAUAUCCCAACUGUAGUUUGUUAUUCUCCAGAAAGCUCUGCCUCCUAAAUCCAGAAGCUGUACGUCUGUUUACCAUAGGUAAUCCUAAACUAGAAGCAAUGCUGCUAAGAGCAGUCUGUAUAUAGGGAGUCUCUUUUUGGUAAAGAUCAGUAGUCUAUUUACCAGGAGUUUUCUCACCAGCACGUUUACAAGGAGAUGAGACUGCAUCACCUCCUGUCCCGCUGGAGGUCCCUUUAGUGGUACUCGAGACAGAAAUGAUCAUAGAUUAGGUGUGUACCUUCCUCCACCAUAGUGGGACACAUCCUUGAAUCUAUAAUUUAUUUUCACCACUUUGCUGGGAGUACUGAUGAGCUUAGAGCCAAGACUGGGAGCUUAAUCCUAUGUGAUUCAGUAGCAUCACGUUUCAUGGUGAUAUACCACAACACCAAUGCAGAUCUACCAUCCUGGGAGUUUCACGGGUUCCACUUGAAAAGGAGGAGGUGUAAAAAAGGUAUGAUAUAGUUCUAGAAAUCCAGCACCCCUUUGAGUAAGAUAAUUAAACAGAUAUAAGAGUAAGAAGGUACAGAUGCAAGUUUUGUGAGGCUGAAAACUUAUACAAUUUUAGAGGCCGUUUUACUUAAAUAUAAAGAACAGAAAAAUAAUUGUCAUGUGCAAAAUGACAAAAAAUAUAUGAUCACAUGUGAACAGGGUGCAAGGUCACCUUUAACAGAGGGGUCCUGAAGCCAUAGCUCAUUAGUAUCUCAGCAAAUUCUGCCUGUACAUAAGUAUAUUUGUGUUAAGAGAGUUGCAUUCAGUUGUUAGGAACCUCUGGAAUACACAUAAAUAAAAGAGAUUUGGUAUGCAGGAAGCUUAUUCCACAAUCCAUGCUACCUCCCACAGUAUUAGUUCUUUAAUGCUAUUUUGGUAUAAUGAUGACAGAAAUAAACAUAUCUGACUUUUUAGCUACCUGCAUACUUCUAAAUCUUUUCUUCCCCAAUUCAGCAAAAAUCUUCAUGAAUUUGAGAUCUCGUUGAAUAAUUGUCACAAGUUCUACCUUUCAUUUCUUUGUGCUUUUCCCACAACUGGAUUAAUCAUGAUUUUAAAACGAUAAAUAAUAGCUUUCUCAUUCAACUGGCUAGGGAUAGAUUGUGAUCUGGGCGUCCUGAAUAUCUCUGAAAUAAUAGAAACUCAGUGAUCAUUUGUGAGAGAGUAACGGAUACCCUUUAGAUAAUCUGGCAUGCAAAAAAUCUCCGAGUUUCUAAAUUGUAGCUGUAAUUUCAAGGUCAGUCUCGUGUAUCUUGAAAGCAAUAUUUUCAAGCAUCUUUUCCACCUAUGUAAUCAAAUCAGGAAAGAUAUAAUUUUAUAUUUAGCACUUCAUUUACUGGGGAUUUUGGAGACGUGAGCUUCCAAUGCACAUUUUUGUUGUUGUUGAAACAGAGUCUCACUCUGUCGCCCAGGCUGGAAUGCAGUAGC
Molecule: long non-coding RNA, 7225 nt
Filed under: Homo sapiens (human)
Lineage: Eukaryota; Metazoa; Chordata; Mammalia; Primates; Hominidae
Description: HSALNT0394964
Source: RNAcentral